UGACAUCAGCAGAAGGUCCCAGGAGUUUGCAGUUGUCCUGCCAGAAGGGGCCAGGGUUGUCCAGAGAGAGCAAAGGAAUGUAGCAUGUUACACAUCUCUGUGCAAGAAUUCAUGACAGAUAGAUACAGCAUCACAAGAUUAACCACAAAAAGCAGUGUGGUUUUUAAGCUGCUGACAUGAGGGAGACUUAGCAAAGAAGCUUCUAGAAGGAAAUAUAGAUUUGCCCUUUGCUGGCCUUAUUGGACAGUGACAUUCAGUAUAGGAAGGAAGAAACAGCCUGGACAAGGACACAGCUUCAGUGCACCUCAAAGGAAUACAGGAGGCUUUUUUACCUACUGAUAGCACAAGAGGCAGAGAAAAUUAGUGAGAUUAAGAAUGAAUUGUCCUGGAGAAACUUGUACCUGGAAAACCUACUGUAGUUUGGUUAGCUCAUUUGAGAGAUACAGAACAUACAACAACAAUGAAAGAGAAGAAAAAUUACCCAGUUCAUCACUGCAAAAGGGCAGGUCUUGGUUGAGUAUCAAGAAACAGCAAAGAAGAGAAUAAUGCAUGUGGGUAGCUCAGAAGGUGAGGAUCUAUUAAGACUUUAAAGAGACAAUCGUGGUGUCAACCUUUUCAGGAUGUGUACAAGAAAAACCUUUUCAGGAUGUGUACAAGAAAAACUCAUUGCAGAAGGGAGUUUUUAAGCUACAUUCAUGGAUGAAAGAAAAUGUUAAGGAAAAUGUGUCUGGCAUCCUUCUAGCCAUUUUUAAAGAUCUGUUCAAAAACUGAGUGGCUGCUACUCUUUGCUUAAAGCUUAGAGGCACAUCUAGGACUGAGCUUAA
Coturnix japonica (Japanese quail) is the source of this 824-nucleotide long non-coding RNA. RefSeq lists it as uncharacterized. Lineage: Eukaryota; Metazoa; Chordata; Aves; Galliformes; Phasianidae. The record is from RefSeq and is a predicted model, not a curated record.